AUGAAGUUAAACCAGUGGACUAAAAUGGCAAUGGUGAAAUCUUUUUGCACACACAGGCGAAAAUGAAACCUUUGAACUAUACUGACAAAGUGGCGUAAACCACAAGUAAUAAAAUCGCCUUUAACUCUUGUUUAAGUUACAUACAUCAUGUUUUAUAUGGUAUUUCUAGCAAAAGAAAUAAACAACACAAGGGAAAAUUAUACAUCAAACAUAGGCCAUUUAUGCCAAUCCAAAGACCUAUUGUUGAUCCAUAAAUAGCUUAAAGAUUUGAUUUCGCCAACUUUUUUUAUUGAUCUUGACUGUGAUGCCCUCAAAUAUCCACUUAUUUCUUGUUCGCCAAAUGAUCCAACAGGUCACCAAAAAUGACAGCUUCAUGAUUUUCUUCCUUUUAUUGCUAGUCUUCGAUGGAAAAGAAAAAUAGCAAACACUUUGCACCACGAACUAACCGCUUGCCACACUAGACACUACCGAAGUGGUGAUAUAAGGAAAAAAAAUGAUAAGCAAAUUCGUCCUCAUUCCCGCAAAUAGACAUCCCAAAGAGCCUGUAACAUCUGCCAUAAACAGAACAGACCUCCGAAACGGCAAAACCCGACCCUUAUUGCAAAACCGGAUCAAUCGGAAAAUAAAUAAAAAUGGGAAUUUUUUAUUAUUUU
This 653-nucleotide long non-coding RNA is filed under the name Helianthus annuus (common sunflower). Lineage: Eukaryota; Viridiplantae; Streptophyta; Magnoliopsida; Asterales; Asteraceae. The record is from RNAcentral.